Long non-coding RNA from Urocitellus parryii (Arctic ground squirrel), 412 nucleotides. RefSeq lists it as uncharacterized. NCBI's taxonomy places the organism in Eukaryota, Metazoa, Chordata, Mammalia, Rodentia, Sciuridae. The record is from RefSeq and is a predicted model, not a curated record.
GCCUGGCCUUUAGGGACUGGCUUGGGGACGCCUCUGACGAUUCAAUGAAUAAAUCGAACUCAGGACGGAGAGACUGGGCUAUUUUCUAAAGGGUUCCUUUUUGAGAACCCUCUGAUGUGACGCUGAAUGAGGUGUCCCGGGGGUGAGAAAAGCCAUCAUGUAGGCAGACCCCUCCAAACAAAGCCCAAUUUGUAAGACGGGGCCACGUUGGCAGGCACAGAGCUGCACACCUGUGAUCCCAGCCUUCCUGAGACUUUGGCCCAAGGAUCGCUGGAGCCCUGGAGUUUGAGACCAGCCUCGGCAACAAAGCAAGAACCUGUCUCCAAACUAAACAAAAAGAGGCCAUUUUAAUGUUUUGUUUUGUUGUCAUUUUUCUUUCCACAACUUAAUAAAUCAUGCUCCUGGCGCUCUC